CUACGUGCCAGCAGCCGCGGUAAUACGUAGGUGGCAAGCGUUAUCCGGAUUUACUGGGUGUAAAGGGCGUGUAGGCGGGAAGGCAAGUCAGAUGUGAAAACUAUGGGCUCAACCCAUAGCCUGCAUUUGAAACUGUUUUUCUUGAGUGAUGGAGAGGCAGGCGGAAUUCCGUAUGUAGCGGUGAAAUGCGUAGAUAUACGGAGGAACACCAGUGGCGAAGGCGGCCUGCUGGACAUUAACUGACGCUGAGGCGCGAAAGCGUGGGGAGCA
RNAcentral lists this ribosomal RNA (270 nucleotides) under uncultured bacterium. RNAcentral describes it as "partial 16S ribosomal RNA". It matches the Rfam family "Bacterial small subunit ribosomal RNA", at positions 501 to 770 of the family's 1533-position model. The record is from RNAcentral.